RNAcentral lists this long non-coding RNA (745 nucleotides) under Numida meleagris (helmeted guineafowl). RNAcentral's name for it is "lncRNA (ENSNMEG00000022834.1)". The record is from RNAcentral. Lineage: Eukaryota; Metazoa; Chordata; Aves; Galliformes; Numididae.
AUGAAGCUUAGAAGAAAAACACUGUAUAUGACAGGAGGCUGCAUCUGCAGAGUACUGAGUGAUGCAGAAGACACGCGUGUGUACACAAACAGGCCUAGGAUAUUACCUGCAUCAGCACAUACUCAUGAAGAGACACUUCAGAUUUUGAAGCGAAUUUCCAGUGGAACACUUAAUGAAGUCCUGGUCUGCACAGAGGGCAGGAUGCCACAAGUGCACUUCAGAGCACAUCUUCAGCUCUCAGAAAGGAAGACUAUUUCCUGUUUUGCUAAGUGAAGGAAACUGAGGCAGAGGGACAAAGUUGUAUUUCCAAAAUAUCAGUGAGGAAAACUCGAAAAGUUCCUUAGCUGCCAGCUACAGUAAAGAUUGCAGUAUCUGGAAGUUGUUCUGUUCUCUCACAUUAACCCUACUGAAGAAGUACCAAAAUGGGAAUCAAGCUCUGUACACAAAUCAAAAGGCUGAACUGAUACAGCCAGAGAAGUUCUAGAAGAAGCAAACAUUCCAGUGGCAAAAUGUGUGGUGCUGAUCCUGUUGGCUUUCCUAUAGAGACACUGAGAAGAAAAAACUCCUCUGGAAUCAGAGGAAGAGCUUAACUUCCAAGGGAAGUUUUUCAUUCUUCUGUGAUUACAAAGAAAGCCUAGGGAGAUCUGAGUAGCAAGGCUGAAGUUUGGUUCUUUAUAGUGCAAGUGAACGAUUUUAUGAUUUCCCAUUUCUAUAACAUUCCUUCUUUCUUUUCCUCUGAUAUCUG